Molecule: ribosomal RNA, 3339 nt
Filed under: Triticum aestivum (bread wheat)
Lineage: Eukaryota; Viridiplantae; Streptophyta; Magnoliopsida; Poales; Poaceae
Description: partial small subunit ribosomal RNA
Source: RNAcentral
AUGAGGGGGCUGAGUAGGAGGGACAGAGAAGAGCCUAUUAACGGAGAGCGGAUUUUCAGCGGACGAGCACCUUGGGAGUCCAAACAGUGUGAGCAAUUACUGAUAGGAUGCCGUCCACUCGUCCCACAUCCUUUCUCUUUCAUACUACUUCGUUCAAAUCUUCCUGAUGUUUCUCAUUUGUAUGAUGACAUUUUGGAUGUUAGGUUCUUUUUUUAUGCUUCAGAAAUGUUAGAGCUGAAGCUCUGCAGUUCAGAUGUAACAUACCUGAAUAUGAUUGCAGUGAUGGAAACCCAAGGAUUUAGUGAAUAUGAUCUGCUGUUUCACAUUGAGAAUCCAGAUUUAGGGGAGAAAGGAUUGGAGAUGGUAGAGAGUAAUGCUGAGUUGCAACUAGUAAAGAGGCAGGUUGAGGAGUGUAAGGUUUUAAAUUUGCUAGUGAGGGCAUGUCCACCUCCUUGCAGCAAGUUUGAGAGGCAAGAAUUAUCCACUGUUGUGUAUGAAGAGCCUGUGUUAUAUGAUCUCAGUGAGCCACCCAUCUAUGCUGUUGAUGAAGAAGGAGUUGCCUUUGAAAGUCAGAGUAGCAGCUGCAGUUUAGUAGCUCAUGGUACUGGUGUUUGCACACAAGAGAGCAAGAAUGUAAAAGGAAAACUGAAAGCUGUUUUGGAAAUAGAAGAAGAAGAGGGAUAUGAUGGCAGUGGUGGUUCUGAUUGUGAAGGUGAAGAUGACAGUGAUGUAAACCCUUUUUAUAUGGGUGAUGCUGAUGACAUAGAGAUGGAUGAGGGAAAGAAACAGAGAGAGUAUGAUGAAGUAGAAGAGGAAGAAACAGAUGAUGAAGAAUCUGAGGAGGAAGAAAUGGUGCAUUACUCUGGUGACACAGAGGUUGAGGAACCUUUUGAAAUGGAUGAAGAUGACAAGGUUGUUUCACAGGAUGAAGAAACUGUAAUUGUACAUGAAGAGAAGAAGAAGAAGAAACAGAAGCUUCCAGUUAGGAAAGGGCCUACAACAAGGACACAUUCAAGUGUAGUUCAAGAGGAGGAACCUGAUUUCCAACCUUCAUCUGAUGAAGAAGAGAAAGGAUUGUUGAAGGAGGCUGAUGAUGAUGGUUAUGAGCCAUUGUCAUUUGUGCUGCCAAAGGAAAGGAAGAGCAGGGCAAAGCAGAGGCCUCCUAGAAAAUGGUACAAUGAGAAAAUGGAGGCACCACAUGAGCAAUUAUGUCUACAGAUGUGUUUCAAGGAUCAACAUCAAUUCAGAGAGGCUUUGUUGAACUUACACAUCACUCAAGGCAGAAACUUCAAAUAUCAUAGGAACUCAGAUCAAAGAAUAAUUGUAGAAUGCAACCAAAAACAUUGCAACUUCUUUAUGGUGGCAGCAGUUAUAAAAGGUGAAACUACUUUUGUAAUUAAGAAGAUGAGAAUUAAGCACACUUGCCCUAUUAGUACAGAGACAACAAGGGUAAGUGCCAAGUGGCUUGCACAGAAGUAUGAGUCACUGUUCAGAUCUGAUCUAACAACUGGCAUUCAGACUUUGAUUGAUGCCUGCAUGGAGAAGUAUGGUGUGGAUGUGCCCAAGUCAAUGGCAUAUAGGGCAAAGAACCUAGCUAUUGAUGAUGUGCUAGGAGACCACAAGAAGCAAUACCCUAGGUUGAAAGACUAUGCUCAGACAGUGAUGGAUACAAACCCUGGGCGUAGAGUAGUAGUCACUACUGUAACUCCAACACCCACUGAAAAAAUCCCCCAUCCAGGUCCAAGAUUCCAUGCUAUGUUCUAUUGCAUCAAUGGAGCAAGGGAGGGGUUUCUCAAGGGGUGCAGACCAUUCAUUGGUGUUGAUGGGUGCUUCAUUAAGUUAACUACUGGUGCUCAACUACUUGAUGCCACUGGUAGAGAUGGCAACAACAAUAUAUACCCACUAGCAUUUGGUAUUGUUGGGCAAGAGGACACACCUAACUGGUGUUGGUUUCUACACCAACUUAAAAUCUGCCUAGGAGGAGAAGUGGGAAGGUUUGGUCCAUAUACAAUAAUGUCAGAUAGACAAAAGGGCCUACUAAAUGCAGUGAAUGAUGUCUUUCCUAAGUGCAACCAAAGGUUCUGCCUUAGGCAUAUCUAUGCAAACUUCCAAAAUGCUGGGUUUAGGGGGGAAGAUCUGAAAAAGUGUAUGGAUAAUGCUGCCUAUGCAUAUAGUGAACACAAAUUUAACAUUGCAAUGAAUGACCUUAGAGAUGAGUGUGAGCAAGCUUGGGAGUGGCUUUGUCAAAUACCCAAGAAAACAUGGGCAAGGCAUGCAUUUGACACAAACUGCAAGACUGACCUUGUAGUUAACAAUUUAUCUGAGGUGUUCAACAAGUAUGUCCUAGAUGUUAGGAAGAAACCAAUUAGGACAAUGUGUGAUGGAAUAAAGGAUAAGCAGAUGGUGAGGUGGCAUAGGAAUAGGGAGAGUGGAAAGAAAGCUAGAUGGGACAUAACACCCCAUUAUAGUGAGAAGCUAGAGGUUGAGAAGGAGAGGGCCAAAUAUUGCAAACCAAUUCAUGCUGGUGUGGACUUGUGGCAAGUUACAAGUGGGCAGCAAACCCAUGCUGUUAACUUGCAAAUGCACACAUGUGGGUGCAGAAAAUGGGACCUAAGUGGCAUCCCAUGUAACCAUGCCAUCUCAGCAAUAAACAAGGCCAAAAGAAAACCAGAGGAUUAUGUCAGCAAGUUCUUCAAGAAAGAAAUUUAUCUGGCAGCUUAUGAACCAAUGAUCUAUCCAGUUCCUGGUGAGCAUGACUGGACAAGGACCCCUGGUCCAGACAUUGACCCACCUGCAUUUAAAGUGAAGAGAGGAAGAAAGAAAGAGAAGAGGAUCAAGGGGAAAUUUGAAGUUCCAAAGCCUAAGGAGACAUCAAGAAUGGGGACUAUAACAUGUGGCAAUUGUGGACUGCAAGGACAUAGGUACACAAGCUGCAACAAGCAGUUGAAGCCUGAGCUGGCUUUGAGGAAGAACAAACAUGUGCCUCUUGCAUGGAAUUCCAAUGCUGGUGCUGCUGCUACUACACAAGCAUCAAGAACUUCUCAUCCAACUCCUACAACAACACCAACAGCUGGAACAGGAGCUGGGAGAGGAGCUGGGAGAGGGGCUGCAGCUGCAGCUGCUGGGAGUGGUGCUGCUAGAGGUGCUGGUAGAGGUGCUGGUAGAGGUGCUGCACCAGGUGCUGGGAGAGGUGCUGGGAGAGGGAGAGGUACAUUCUCUGCCCCAAGGCAAUCUGGUCCCUCCACAUCUACUGCUCCCUCUACAUCUACUGCUACUCCACCUUCUGGUGGUAGAAACAGAGGAUGGAGAGCCUACUUCUAUGCAAGUGGUAACCACUAA